Molecule: non-coding RNA, 46 nt
Organism: Trichuris suis (pig whipworm)
Lineage: Eukaryota; Metazoa; Nematoda; Enoplea; Trichinellida; Trichuridae
Source: Rfam
CAAACGGCCCUUUUCAGGGCCACCAAAUUGAACGCAAAGCGUGUGG